RNAcentral lists this ribosomal RNA (490 nucleotides) under uncultured bacterium. RNAcentral describes it as "partial 16S ribosomal RNA". It matches the Rfam family "Bacterial small subunit ribosomal RNA", at positions 30 to 507 of the family's 1533-position model. The record is from RNAcentral.
AUUGAACGCUGGCGGCAGGCCUAACACAUGCAAGUCGAACGGUAACAGGAAGCAGCUUGCUGCUUUGCAGCCGAGUGGCGGACGGGUGAGUAAUGUCUGGGAAACUGCCCGAUGGAGGGGGAUAACUACUGGAAACGGUAGCUAAUACCGCAUAACGUCGCAAGACCAAAGAGGGGGACAUUAGGGCCUCUUGCCAUCGGAUGUGCCCAGAUGGGAUUAGCUAGUAGGUGGGGUAACGGCUCACCUAGGCGACGAUCCCUAGCUGGUCUGAGAGGAUGACCAGCCACACUGGAACUGAGACACGGUCCAGACUCCUACGGGAGGCAGCAGUGGGGAAUAUUGCACAAUGGGCGCAAGCCUGAUGCAGCCAUGCCGCGUGUAUGAAGAAGGCCUUCGGGUUGUAAAGGACUUUCAGCGGGGAGGAAGGGAGUAAAGUUAAUACCGUUGCUCAUUGACGUUACCCGCAGAAGAAGCACCGGCUAACUCCGUG